UGCGCUGAGCAAGAUCUCCAAGACCCUGUC
RNAcentral lists this non-coding RNA (30 nucleotides) under Mus musculus (house mouse). The record is from RNAcentral. Lineage: Eukaryota; Metazoa; Chordata; Mammalia; Rodentia; Muridae.